Long non-coding RNA from Acinonyx jubatus (cheetah), 1026 nucleotides. RefSeq lists it as uncharacterized. The transcript is spliced from 3 exons. The record is from RefSeq and is a predicted model, not a curated record. Lineage: Eukaryota; Metazoa; Chordata; Mammalia; Carnivora; Felidae.
ACCCAGGCACCCUGCAUGUAAUCCACUCGUUAUGUACUAGUGUGUCUUUGACCUGAAAUUACAUUGGAAGAAGCUGGAAUUGAAAGUAAAAACGGAAAAGAGCAAAGUAAUUGCAAAACUGUGUGUGAUCACCCAGAACACAGUGUGGAAAGGCCAUUUAAACAACACUGAAAAGCUCCAUACUUCCACCUUUUGGGAUUCUGCUGACCUAGAGGUAAGAUUGUUUUUUCUUCUUAAACACAUCCUUGAGGUUCUAUCCAUUUGUUUUAAUCUAUCUUCUCUCUGUUUUUCAGACUGAAUAAUUUUUAUUGAUGUAUCUUCAAGUUUACUAAUUUUUUCCUUUCCUCUUGAUUCCUCCAAGUGAGUUCUAAAAAACUUUGUGGUUAUAAUGUUUUUAGUUCUUAAAUUUUUAUUUGCUUGCUCUUUAUAUCUGUUCUUUCUUUUGUGAGGAUUUCUAUUUUUUCCUAUGUUUCAAGAGUGUUCAUAAAUUUUCAUUGAAUUAUUUUUCUGGUAGCAUUUAAAAAUCCUUGUCAGAUCAUCUGUGCCAUCUCAAUGUUGGUAUCUGUUGAUUGUCCUUCUUUAUUUGAAUUGAUGUUUGAUGUAUGAUUAUUUUCUUUUUAUUGUAUCCUGGACAUUUUCAGUAUUAUUAUGAGACUUAGGUUUCUAUUUAAAGCUCAUCACUGACAAACCAGGAUGGUAAUCUGGGCUGUAUUCACACAAAUAAUCUCUGCAGAUAACCCCUGGCCAGCAAGAUAUAGAACCCCAGCUAUCCUUAAUGCUUAUAUGUGAUUGUAGUCAGGGUCUGCCCUUAACAGCCUCUCUGCAUGCCCAUUGGUUGAGAAGGAAACUGUCUCCUUACUGCCAUCUUGGAAUGGUGGUAAGUCUGUUUACACAUAAAGCCUCUAUACAUGCCCACCAACCAGGAGACAAAACUAUCUCUUCACUGGACAGGUGAAGUGGAAGUCAGAGUUCUGCUCACUUUAGACAGCGAAGAGCAGGUGUAGUCAAAACUUAGUACUUCCAGGG